Molecule: ribosomal RNA, 459 nt
Filed under: uncultured Bacteroidota bacterium
Lineage: Bacteria; Pseudomonadati; Bacteroidota
Description: bacterial SSU rRNA
Rfam family: Bacterial small subunit ribosomal RNA
Source: RNAcentral
CCUACGGGAGGCUGCAGUGGGGAAUAUUGGACAAUGGGGGGAACCCUGAUCCAGCCAUGCCGCGUGAGGGAAGAAGGUCCUCUGGAUUGUAAACCUCUUUUGGCGGGGGACAAACCUGCACUAUACGUGCAGCUGAGGGUACCCGCAGAAUAAGCACCGGCUAACUCCGUGCCAGCAGCCGCGGUAAUACGGAGGGUGCAAGCGUUGUCCGGAUUUAUUGGGUUUAAAGGGUGCGUAGGCGGUCGAAUAAGUCAGCGGUGAAAUCCUCCGGCUCAACUGGAGAACUGCCGUUGAUACUGUUUGACUUGAGUUCGUCCGAGGUCGCUGGAAUGCGUGGUGUAGCGGUGAAAUGCAUAGAUAUCACGCAGAACACCGAUUGCGAAGGCAGGUGACUGGGACGCGACUGACGCUGAGGCACGAAAGUGUGGGGAGCAAACAGGAUUAGAUACCCCGGUAGUC